Molecule: ribosomal RNA, 253 nt
Filed under: uncultured bacterium
Lineage: Bacteria
Description: partial 16S ribosomal RNA
Rfam family: Bacterial small subunit ribosomal RNA
Source: RNAcentral
UACGAGAGGCCCAAACGUUAUUCGGAAUUACUGGGCUUAAAGAGUUCGUAGGCGGCGCAGCAAGUAGGGUGUGAAAGCCCUCGGCUCAACCGAGGAAUUGCGCUCUAAACUACUGUGCUUGAGGAAUCUAGAGGUGAGCGGAACUGAUGGUGGAGCGGUGAAAUGCGUUGAUAUCAUCAGGAACACCGGAGGCGAAGGCGGCUCACUGGGGAUUUUCUGACGCUGAGGAACGAAAGCCAGGGGAGCGAACGGG